Molecule: small RNA, 127 nt
Filed under: Arabidopsis thaliana (thale cress)
Lineage: Eukaryota; Viridiplantae; Streptophyta; Magnoliopsida; Brassicales; Brassicaceae
Description: ATSL065130
Source: RNAcentral
UUAAUUAUUAUUAGGGUUUCUUGGAAAACUAGUCACUUUGCAAUCCAGGUGUAUAAAUCAAACACUUAAAAAUGACUACUUUGCAAAUUGUAAAUAGUAAUAUGACUACUUUCCCAAAUAUGUUUGA